This 87-nucleotide transfer RNA is filed under the name Candidatus Eubacterium pullicola. RNAcentral's name for it is "tRNA-Leu". It matches the Rfam family "tRNA". From Rfam's summary of the family: Transfer RNA (tRNA) molecules are approximately 80 nucleotides in length. Their secondary structure includes four short double-helical elements and three loops (D, anti-codon, and T loops). The record is from RNAcentral. Lineage: Bacteria; Bacillati; Bacillota; Clostridia; Eubacteriales; Eubacteriaceae.
GCGGCUGUGGCGGAACAGGCAGACGCGCUGUCUUGAGGGGGCAGUAAGGAUCCCCUUGUGCGAGUUCGAAUCUCGCCAGCCGCACCA